CUUAAGUAUUCGAAUUUCUGAUGGCAGUUGAUGAAAGAAGAUGUCAUACUUAGGGAAACAUUAAAUUACUUUGAAUGAUAUUACCUAAAAACAUCAAACGACAGGGGAAGAAAGAGGACUGCCUAUUUCCGAUAUAUCUUCACAUAACAACACCCAAAGCACUACCAUCAAAAAAUUAAAAUCAAUAUAUAGGAAGAAAAAAUGAAGACAUUGAUUAAAAGAAAAGAAGUUGAAAGAGUUUCGAAUAUUAUGUCAAGUUGUCAACAACAACACAGAUCUGGAAAUGGAUUUUCUUGCCUAAUAAUUAUAUUAAAUGCAUGUUCAUGCAUGACUUUUGUUUCAACUGUGUUCCCUGUAUCACAUUUCCUCCAUCAUGUAUACAUGUAGAGCAAGGGCAAUGUUGAAAAAACCAUCACAUCUUGUGUAACACCAACAAAACAGCUUUUUAUUGUUUGGACAUUAAAUUAAUGCUUAUGAUUAUACUUAAAAUUGCAAGAAAAAGGACUGUACCUGUGUAAAGUACAAUGCAGCAAUAUUCAAAAAAAGAUUGUCUAACAAUAUUUUUGUCUGUGUUAUUUGUGUUGUACUAGUAUACACUUAUGUAUUGGAGCAUGAGAAAUAAAAAAAAAUAUUUCUUGAUUUAAAGAUGAAGAAAGUUUGGGAAAGUCUUGGAAUUAGUGUUUGAAAGGUAUAUAUAAACUAUGUUGUGUAUAAAUCUGUAUAUACUUUUGUUAAAUCAGAGUGCAUAUUUCUUUAGAUAACUAAAGAAGUUAAAUAGAGCAAUUUAUCAAAUAAUCAUUCAAUAAGUAAUGCAUUCAUUUAAUAGGUUCAUUCAUGUUAAGCGCUUUGAUAGAAACAGUUGUAAAGGAAUAUUUUUUCAUAUAUUGAGAAUUUAAAGAAUUUUUAAAUCAGUCAGUGAAAAUAAUUCCUUAUCUUUAUACAGUCAUGUAUGUACAAAUGCUUUCACGAUGAAAUGACUAUGCAAAGAAUGGAAUAAAACAUGUCACUGUC
Saccostrea echinata is the source of this 1011-nucleotide long non-coding RNA. RefSeq lists it as uncharacterized. NCBI's taxonomy places the organism in Eukaryota, Metazoa, Mollusca, Bivalvia, Ostreida, Ostreidae. The transcript has 2 exons. The record is from RefSeq and is a predicted model, not a curated record.